AGAUCUAGCCAGCAGUUCUCAACCUGUGAGUUGCAAACACUGGAAAACAGGUAUUUCUGAUGGUCUUAGGAACUGAGACACCACUCCUCUAAAAAGUUACAGCUAUGAAGUUACAAAAUAACUUUACAGUUACAAAAAUAACUUUCUGGUGAGGGGGAGUCACCACAACAUGAGGAACUGCAUUAAAGAGUCAAAGCACUAGGAAGGUUGAGAGCCACUGAUCUAGGUAGGAAUGAUUAAUUUUUCAUUUUCUGUGCACUUUCCUGCAUUUUAAAAACAAAAGUAUUUAUUUUUGGCUUGAGGUAUCUGUGUCUUUGAGUUUGUAUGCAGCUUAUUUUUAUUCUCAUUUUCUCUAGGGAUUUUUAUGUUAGGAUCAUCUAGCUAAAUAUAAGUCUCCUGACAGUGAUGCAUAUAAAUGCAGGAGAUAAAAAUCAUGUUUAACCUGAGCCACACUUGCACGCCUAGAGAGCCAUCUGUGGUAUAGAUGGCUUCUAAGUGAGCGUCAUGAAGGAACUCAGCUGUCCUCACCACCCCGCAAACCCACCCCUGUGUGUGUUUGCCUCCCCUGGAAGAAAUUGCGGCCACCUUUCAGAGUUCGUCAAGUUUUUCUGUUUAAGAACAGUUUCAUUCUAAAUAACAAGAUAAAAAUUUAGUCUUACACAGUCUCAUAUUACAAUUCAUCACUUCCAUCUGAUUUAAAUUUUACAUCUUUGGGAGGCAGAGACAGGCAAAUUUGUGAGUUCGAGGCCAACCUGCACCGACUCUAGACUCUCUUCCCAAAUC
Molecule: long non-coding RNA, 783 nt
Filed under: Mus caroli (Ryukyu mouse)
Lineage: Eukaryota; Metazoa; Chordata; Mammalia; Rodentia; Muridae
Description: predicted gene 28087 (MGP_CAROLIEiJ_G0006816.1)
Source: RNAcentral